This 576-nucleotide long non-coding RNA is filed under the name Gossypium barbadense (sea-island cotton). Its description in RNAcentral is "long non-coding RNA (GBAR_LNC017352)". The record is from RNAcentral. Lineage: Eukaryota; Viridiplantae; Streptophyta; Magnoliopsida; Malvales; Malvaceae.
AAGCAUCCUAAAUUGCCCCAAUCGUUUUUUCAUAAUAUCGAACUCAUCAAUGAUAGAAUCUGUUAAAAGUUUUCGAGUUAUCUCUUUUUUGGUGUAUGCCACCAAGCAAAUUGAAAGAAAAUCAUUUUCUAUUCUGUUGCGAAACCUUGUUUUCACAAUUUUCAUGGCUAAAAAUACUUGUUCGGUUGUUGUAGUAGACACGGGAACAGUUAGCACAAAACGAAUAAUUCUUUUAAGAAGAGGAUAAAUACUUGACUUAUUUGUCUUAGCUAGCACUUGACACAACUCAACUGUAAAAGCUUUCUACAACUUCGUGCUUUGAUGAGCAUAAAGUUGAAAAUGCUCCAAUUGAAUCUUCAUGUGUAGCUUUUCUUGCUCUAUAAAAUCGUCCAAAUAAAAACCAUUCAUAAACUUAUAGAUAUCUUCCACCCAAAAAGCUUUGUAAUUAUCGUGUGGAUCCAAAGCGGAGCUAAGAACAAGUAACUCCACUAUUUCAUCAUUAAAGCGAGAAAUCAUUUCUAUUAGCAAUGAAUUGAUACCAACAAUGAAUAUAUCAAACAGAUAGUGAUGCUCAAU